AACGAACGCUGGCGGCAUGCCUAACACAUGCAAGUCGAACGAGACCUUCGGGUCUAGUUGCGCACGGGUGCGUAACGCGUGGGAACCUGCCCUUAGGUUCGGAAUAACUCCCCGAAAGGGGUGCUAAUACCGGAUAAUGUCUUCGGACCAAAGAUUUAUCGCCUUUGGAUGGGCCCGCGUUGGAUUAGCUAGUUGGUAGUGUAAAAGCCUACCAAGGCGACGAUCCAUAGCUGGUCUGAGAGGAGGAGCAGCCACACUGGGACUGAGACACGGCCCAGAAUCCUACGCGAGGGAGGAGAGGGGAAUAGAGGACAAUGGGGGAAAGGAUGAAAAAGCAAUGCGGCGUGAGUGAUGAAGGCGGUAGGGUAGUAAAGCAGGUUUAGCCGGGAUGAUAAUGACGGUACCGGGAGAAUAAGCACCGGCUAACUCCGUG
RNAcentral lists this ribosomal RNA (433 nucleotides) under uncultured bacterium. RNAcentral describes it as "partial 16S ribosomal RNA". It matches the Rfam family "Bacterial small subunit ribosomal RNA", at positions 29 to 507 of the family's 1533-position model. The record is from RNAcentral.